This 226-nucleotide ribosomal RNA is filed under the name uncultured bacterium. RNAcentral describes it as "partial 16S ribosomal RNA". It matches the Rfam family "Bacterial small subunit ribosomal RNA", at positions 538 to 763 of the family's 1533-position model. The record is from RNAcentral.
GCGUUGUUCGGAAUUACUGGGCGUAAGGCGCACGUAGGCGGCUUUGUAAGUUAGAGGUGAAAGCCCGGGGCUCAACUCCGGAACUGCCUUUAAGACUGCAUCGCUAGAAUCAUGGAGAGGUCAGUGGAAUUCCGAGUGUAGAGGUGAAAUUCGUAGAUUUUCGGAAGAACACCAGUGGCGAAGGCGACUGACUGGACAUGUAUUGACGCUGAGGUGCGAAAGCGUG